GGGGCGAUAGCUCAGUUGGUAGAGCGUCUGCUUUGCACGCAGAAGGUCAGGGGUUCGAAUCCCCUUCGCUCCA
RNAcentral lists this transfer RNA (73 nucleotides) under Chloroflexus aurantiacus J-10-fl. It matches the Rfam family "tRNA". Rfam says of the family: Transfer RNA (tRNA) molecules are approximately 80 nucleotides in length. The record is from Rfam by way of RNAcentral. Lineage: Bacteria; Bacillati; Chloroflexota; Chloroflexia; Chloroflexales; Chloroflexaceae.